AUGGAGUGGUUAAGGAUGACUGAGAAGUUUUUCUCCAUGGUGUAUGUGCCUGAAGAAGCAAAGUGGGACUAUGCCCAAAUGUAUCUAACAGGUAGAACCGACACUUGGCUUAGAAACUCUGGCAUCUUACUGGAGAACUUAACUUGAGAGCAAUUUUGCUCUGCCGUCCUUAAAAGGUUCUCUGAGGAUAGUUCUUAUGAGGUGGUGGAAAUUUUCAAUUCAUUCAAGCAGGGAACUGAGAAAGUGGCUGCUUACAAGAAGGAAAAUCCCGGAGCGCCUGAAAGUUACUAUGUCAAGUGCUACAUCAAUGGGUUAAGGCCAGAGAUCAAACACUAUCUGAAGCCUUUCAAACCAACAACUCUCUAUGAUGCUGUGGACAAUGCCAGGGACAUGGAACUAGGAGUUCAGGCUCAAACACGGCAUAGGAGAUACAGUACAAACAGUGGCUAUCAGAAAAGCACCUCCCCUAUCCCAUUUCCCACCAAAUUCAAACAACCAGAGACAAUUCCAAAGAAAGAGGGCGAGACAAGAAACAACAACAGACCAGAAAAUAAAUACAGAGAGCCUGGCACAUGCAGGUACUGUGGAGGCAAAUGGUUUUUUGGGCACAAAUGUGCGCAAUACAAGACCCUAAACUUAAUGGCAACUAAAGAGAGCAACGACACCACCCCUGAUGAAACACUCCAAAGUAGUGACUCUGCUGAGGAAACUGAAAUCCAUGCCACCUCCCCCACUGAAGAGGAGCAAUGCACACAAAUUUCUCUACAAGCUCUGGGAAAGAAACCUGUUGCUUCUACAUUUUCUCUCUAA
Molecule: ribosomal RNA, 810 nt
Filed under: Triticum aestivum (bread wheat)
Lineage: Eukaryota; Viridiplantae; Streptophyta; Magnoliopsida; Poales; Poaceae
Description: partial small subunit ribosomal RNA
Source: RNAcentral